ACAAAAGAUGUACCAUAGAUAGAACGACUUCUCAGCGAGUUGAAAACAGGGCUUUGAACAUAAAUAUUCUCCGACAGCAUCACUGAUUUUGUUAGCAAGUUAUACAGAGGAGUUUCAGCAUCAGCUAAAGUGCAAGAUCUCCUCCCUCCAAUUGUGGAAUCCCAACACUGGGUGUUUGUCAGUGCACAGUUCAGUGAAUACUGGGAUUGACCAUCACAUUAUAAUGACCUCACGGCUGAGAGAGUGAGCAUGUUUGACGAGGUUUCAUUCUCGUGUCCUGCAGAUUGCAACUCAAGUAACCUAACUACCAGGACAGAUUCGGGAAUGCCAGCUUGCUGCCUCGUGAUGGACGGCGCCGUUCACUCAAUAGGAUUUUCUGGACCACUUCUCACUUCAUGGAACGAGCUAUUAAUUCUUCCCCCACGUCAGAAGGGGGAGGGAAUGUUCUCAGAACACAGAAGCGGUUGAGUGGCUUAAUGUAACAAACCAUCCUGUAGUACAGAAAGCAGCUUUAGCGGUCUUUCUUCACCUGUACGCACUUCAUACAUUGUUUUCCAAAGCUACGGUUAUUAUAUCCCGUUUUUUAUCUGUUUAAUUUAGAGCGUUUUGCCAUUUAAAAUAGUUUAUCAGUAGCACUUACUAAUAAAAUGUUUAGAAGUUUAUAUGAUUAACAUUACGGAAUAUUCGUAUUAACAUUCUGUUUGCUAUUCUUCACGUCUCAGAACAUUCAGUUCGCAAGAAUCAACAACAUAUAAAAUGUGUUCUACCUUGCACUGAAACACCAUCAUUCUUACUAAUAUUAUUAGUAUUACUGUAACAUGAAGAUAAUCUGAAGUAGGGUUAAAGCAAUAUGAAAACAGUUUCUUUAUUAGUUACAAAAAGAAACUGAUGAUCCCUAGCGAUGUACUAUAUUAGAUAUUACUUAGUCUUAGUCAAUAAAUUUAGAAGAUAUUAAAAUCAGCGAGUCACGCCUCUGAGCUUACAAUCUUAUCUUUUGAGGAUGCCAUAAGUGAUCUAGUGCUUUGUUUGCUGUGCUGUAGGUCGAAAGGUCUAGGGUUUGAGUCACGAUAUGCCGCUGAACAUGUUUCACAUUUUUAGCUGUGAGAGCAUUAUAAUGAUGAAAGCCAAUCCCCCUUAUUCGAUUCAGAGUAGCUGCGUAGGUGAGAGAUGCUGUUGCUUGAUUGCUUUCCCCAUGGUGAGCAGUUUUAAAUUAGGGAUGACUAUGCCUGAACUUUAGGGGUCAUGUAUCGAAUAAGAUACCGCUCAGGUUUGAAGAUAACAAACACGCGCACAAAAAAAAACUUUUGUGAGUUUGUUGUCAGCUAUUUAUGUAUGUGUAUAGAGUGUUAUGAAAAAUCAUUUGCCCAAGCUGUUUCAAUAUGAAAAUAUGUAAUACGUGCCAGGAAUAAGUUCUUUUAGGCCUGAGAAAAAUGAUUAUAAUAAGCACAACUGUAUUUUUUUUCCUCAUACUCUCUUAAUUAAUUUGUUUAUACAACAUAAAAAUAGCAUUUCAGACGUUCUUUACACUUAUAUAAAAUUAGCCCAGGUAACGAGAUGUUAGGCAAUGGUUGUGGCAAAUAAAAUUGAAGUAGUUUGCUAUGAAUUUCGCGCAAAGCU
This is a long non-coding RNA of Limulus polyphemus (Atlantic horseshoe crab), 1617 nucleotides long. RefSeq lists it as uncharacterized. The transcript has 4 exons. The record is from RefSeq and is a predicted model, not a curated record. Lineage: Eukaryota; Metazoa; Arthropoda; Merostomata; Xiphosura; Limulidae.